Molecule: ribosomal RNA, 501 nt
Filed under: uncultured bacterium
Lineage: Bacteria
Description: partial 16S ribosomal RNA
Rfam family: Bacterial small subunit ribosomal RNA
Source: RNAcentral
AUUGAACGCUGGCGGCAUGCCUUACACAUGCAAGUCGAACGGCAGCACGGGUGCUUGCACCUGGUGGCGAGUGGCGAACGGGUGAGUAAUACAUCGGAACGUACCUUAUCGUGGGGGAUAACGCAGCGAAAGCUGUGCUAAUAUCGCAUACGCCCUGAGGGGGAAAGCGGGGGAUCGAAAGACCUCGCGCGAUUAGAGCGGCCGAUGCCUGAUUAGCUUGUUGGUGGGGUAAAAGCCCACCAAGGCGACGAUCAGUAGCUGGUCUGAGAGGACGAUCAGCCACACUGGGACUGAGACACGGCCGAGACUCCUACGGGAGGCAGCAGUGAGGAAUUUUGGACAAUGAGGGCAACCCUGAUCCAGCAAUGCCGCGUGAGUGAAGAAGGCCUUCGGGUUGUAAAGCUCUUUUGUCAUGGAAGAAACACCGGCUCUAACACAGUCCGGGAAUGACGGUACCUGAAGAAUAAGCACCGGCUAACUACGUGCCAGCAGCCGCGGUAA